AAAAACAUAGUAUAAUAUAAUACAUUUCACUUACACUGAAAAUAUACUUAGAUGUUUAAGUUGUUUUUA
RNAcentral lists this transfer RNA (69 nucleotides) under Columbella adansoni. RNAcentral describes it as "tRNA-Val". It matches the Rfam family "tRNA". Rfam says of the family: Transfer RNA (tRNA) molecules are approximately 80 nucleotides in length. Their secondary structure includes four short double-helical elements and three loops (D, anti-codon, and T loops). The record is from RNAcentral. Lineage: Eukaryota; Metazoa; Mollusca; Gastropoda; Neogastropoda; Columbellidae.